AAGAAAAUCGCAAAAAAAAUUACGGCACUUAAAAUGAUAUAUUACUGAACUCGGAUGUCUGCUCGGAAUCGUCUUACGUUAAGCAAUGGUUUAUAGUUGCUUACAGAUAUAAAUGAAAUAACUUUAUGUAUCCUAUCUUCCCGACUUCUCACCUACAACAGUGGCCACUCCCAUCCAUGGUAUCAGCCCUUUUUUGAAUUUAUAUAUAGACCAAGGUAUUUAAACUCAUCAACUUUCUUAUACAUACAGACUCCGUUGAAUUUGCGUC
Cinara cedri is the source of this 268-nucleotide non-coding RNA. The record is from the annotation of a GenBank genome assembly. NCBI's taxonomy places the organism in Eukaryota, Metazoa, Arthropoda, Insecta, Hemiptera, Aphididae.